Molecule: transfer RNA, 77 nt
Filed under: Tetragnatha puella
Lineage: Eukaryota; Metazoa; Arthropoda; Arachnida; Araneae; Tetragnathidae
Description: tRNA-Lys
Source: RNAcentral
AUAAAAUAGUGGCCGAAUGAAGGUGUUAGUCUCUUAAAUUAAUUAUGANAUAUAUAUAUAUAUAUAUAUAUAUAUAU